GCCGGGCGUGGUGGUCCAUGCCUGUAAUCCCAGCUACUUGGGAGGCUGAGGCAGGAGGAUUGCUUGAACCCAGGAGUCAGAGGUUAUAGUGAGCCGAGAUCGUGCCACUGCACUCCAGCCUGGGCAACAGAGCGAGAUUCUGUCUCAA
This is a non-coding RNA of Homo sapiens (human), 148 nucleotides long. It matches the Rfam family "Metazoan signal recognition particle RNA". From Rfam's summary of the family: The signal recognition particle (SRP) is a universally conserved ribonucleoprotein. It is involved in the co-translational targeting of proteins to membranes. The record is from Rfam. Lineage: Eukaryota; Metazoa; Chordata; Mammalia; Primates; Hominidae.